RNAcentral lists this ribosomal RNA (1145 nucleotides) under uncultured Psychroflexus sp. RNAcentral describes it as "bacterial SSU rRNA". It matches the Rfam family "Bacterial small subunit ribosomal RNA", at positions 9 to 1168 of the family's 1533-position model. The record is from RNAcentral. Lineage: Bacteria; Pseudomonadati; Bacteroidota; Flavobacteriia; Flavobacteriales; Flavobacteriaceae.
GAGUUUGAUCCUGGCUCAGGAUGAACGCUAGCGGCAGGCUUAACACAUGCAAGUCGAGGGGCAGCACGUCUUCGGAUGGUGGCGACCGGCGCACGGGUGAGUAACGCGUAUGCAAUCUACCUUUUACAGGGGCAUAGCCCGGGGAAACCCGGAUUAAUAUCCUAUAGUACCAUUAUAUAGCAUUAUAUUAUGGUUAAAGUUUCGGCGGUAAAAGAUGAGCAUGCGUCCUAUUAGCUUGAUGGUAAGGUAACGGCUUACCAUGGCUAUGAUAGGUAGGGGUCCUGAGAGGGAGACCCCCCACACUGGUACUGAGACACGGACCAGACUCCUACGGGAGGCAGCAGUGAGGAAUAUUGGACAAUGGGCGCAAGCCUGAUCCAGCCAUGCCGCGUGCAGGAAGACGGCCCUAUGGGUUGUAAACUGCUUUUAUACGGGAAGAAACACCCCUUCGUGAAGGGACUUGACGGUACCGUAUGAAUAAGGAUCGGCUAACUCCGUGCCAGCAGCCGCGGUAAUACGGAGGAUCCAAGCGUUAUCCGGAAUCAUUGGGUUUAAAGGGUCCGUAGGCGGGACAAUAAGUCAGUGGUGAAAGUCUGCAGCUUAACUGUAGAAUUGCCGUUGAAACUGUUGUUCUUGAGUAAUUAUGAAGUGGUUAGAAUAUGUAGUGUAGCGGUGAAAUGCAUAGAUAUUACAUAGAAUACCGAUUGCGAAGGCAGAUCACUAAUAAUUCACUGACGCUGAUGGACGAAAGCGUAGGUAGCGAACAGGAUUAGAUACCCUGGUAGUCUACGCCGUAAACGAUGGUUACUAGCUGUUUGGGAGCAAUCCUGAGUGGCUAAGCGAAAGUGAUAAGUAACCCACCUGGGGAGUACGUUCGCAAGAAUGAAACUCAAAGGAAUUGACGGGGGCCCGCACAAGCGGUGGGAGCAUGUGGUUUAAUUCGAUGAUACGCGGAGGAAUCUUUACCAGGGCUUAAAUGGGGGAGUGACAGGGGUGAAACACCUUUUUCUUCGGACACUCCUCAAGGUGCUGCAUGGAUGUCGUCAGCUCGGGCGUGAGGGUGUUCAGUAAGUCUAUACGAGCGCACCCCUGUUGUUAAUUGCAGCGUAUGUCCGAACUCUAACAGAACUGCGGGUCCAACUGUA